GCGGCGGGUGUUUUCCCUGUACCCCCGCGCCGCCCUCCUAAGAAAGAUAAUUGGCCGCUGGGUGGGGCCCGGCACCGCCUCGCGCCUGGUGUGGUCGCACGUGCUGGGGCGGAAGCCGAGAUCACAGCUAUGGCGUCGUUACUUUGGGGAGGCGACGCCGGGGCUGCGGAGAGCGAGCGGCUGAACCGCCACUUUUCAAACCUCAUCCACCCCCCGAAGAACCUUCGGGGUAUUAAGAAUACUACUGUCCCAAACAUAGAUGGUUCUGUUAAUAACACUGAAGAAGAUGAUGAAGAAGAAGUAGUGGAUUUGGCAGCUAAUUCACUCUUAAACAAGUUAAUCCGGCAGUCCUUAGUAGAAUCCAGUCACCGAGUUGAAGUCUUACAAAAGGAUCCCAGCUCUCCACUCUACUCAGUGAAAACAUUUGAAGAGCUGCGGCUAAAGGAAGAGUUACUAAAAGGGAUCUAUGCAAUGGGAUUUAACAGACCAUCCAAAAUUCAAGAGAUGGCGCUCCCUAUGAUGCUGGCACACCCACCACAGAACCUCAUAGCCCAGAGCCAGUCUGGAACAGGAAAGACAGCUGCUUUUGUCUUGGCAAUGCUAAGCAGAGUUAAUGCCUUGGAAUUGUUUCCACAGUGCCUCUGCCUGGCUCCUACUUAUGAAUUGGCUCUGCAAACUGGCCGUGUGGUGGAACGGAUGGGGAGAUUCUGUGUGGAUGUUCAAGUGAUGUACGCCAUUCGAGGAAAUCGAAUUCCCAGAGGCACUGACAUCACCAAACAGAUUAUAAUUGGCACUCCUGGGACUGUCCUAGAUUGGUGUUUCAAGCGAAAAUUAAUUGAUUUGGCUAAGAUUCGUGUGUUUGUCCUGGAUGAAGCAGAUGUGAUGAUCGACACACAAGGAUUCUCAGACCAAAGCAUUCGUAUUCAAAGAGCUUUACCCUCUGGGUGCCAGAUGCUCCUCUUUUCAGCGACCUUUGAAGACUCUGUGUGGCAGUUUGCUGAGCGAAUCAUUCCUGACCCUAAUGUGAUCAAGUUACGAAAAGAGGAGCUGACCCUGAACAACAUCCGACAGUAUUAUGUAUUGUGUGGGAAUAGGAAAGACAAGUAUCAAGCUCUGUGCAACAUCUAUGGAGGCAUCACCAUUGGCCAGGCCAUCAUCUUCUGCCAGACUCGUCGAAAUGCCAAAUGGUUGACUGUGGAGAUGAUGCAGGAUGGCCACCAAGUGUCUUUGUUAAGCGGAGAGCUGACUGUGGAUCAGCGAGCUGCCAUCAUUCAGAGGUUUCGGGAUGGAAAGGAGAAAGUUCUUAUAACGACCAACGUCUGUGCUAGAGGGAUUGAUGUGAAGCAGGUCACAAUUGUUGUGAACUUUGACCUCCCUGUGAACCAAGCAGAGGAGCCAGACUAUGAGACCUACCUCCACCGCAUCGGGCGGACAGGCCGCUUUGGGAAAAAAGGCCUUGCCUUCAACAUGAUUGAGGUGGAUAAGCUGCCUCUGCUGAUGAAGAUCCAGGACCACUUCAACAGCAAUAUUAAGCAACUUGAUCCUGAAGACAUGGAUGAAAUUGAAAAGAUUGAAUAUUGAAGACAGAACUUUAUCCUUUAAAAGUAUUCUGGUUUAUGUGAGAAUGUCCCAGUAGGUUUUGAAGGUCAACACCUUUGUGAGGGCCACUGGGAUAUUUGGGGAUUUAGUUUAUAGCAUCUGAGCAGAUCCUGCCUCUUGUGAGCAUCUCACAGCACCACGAGAUGGCAGUAGAAUGUCACUGUUUUUGGAACUUGAGUUGGUCCAGCAAGUGAAAAGCAAAACAUCUUCAGACUCUCAGACUGCCCCUUCCAGUUUCAGUGUCUUCCCUGCCCCUCCCCACC
Molecule: RNA transcript, 1862 nt
Organism: Phacochoerus africanus (Common warthog)
Lineage: Eukaryota; Metazoa; Chordata; Mammalia; Artiodactyla; Suidae
Gene: DDX25
Gene name: DEAD-box helicase 25
Exons: 13
Source: RefSeq, a predicted model, not a curated record